Molecule: ribosomal RNA, 735 nt
Filed under: uncultured bacterium
Lineage: Bacteria
Description: bacterial SSU rRNA
Rfam family: Bacterial small subunit ribosomal RNA
Source: RNAcentral
GCCUUACACAUGCAAGUCGAACGGUAACGCGGGGCAACCUGGCGACGAGUGGCGAACGGGUGAGUAACGCAUCGGAACGUGCCCAGUAGUGGGGGAUAGCCCGGCGAAAGCCGGAUUAAUACCGCAUACGACCUAAGGGUGAAAGCGGGGGAUCGCAAGACCUCGCGCUAUUGGAGCGGCCGAUGUCAGAUUAGGUAGUUGGUGAGGUAAAGGCUCACCAAGCCUUCGAUCUGUAGCUGGUCUGAGAGGACGACCAGCCACACUGGGACUGAGACACGGCCCAGACUCCUACGGGAGGCAGCAGUGGGGAAUUUUGGACAAUGGGCGCAAGCCUGAUCCAGCCAUGCCGCGUGCGGGAAGAAGGCCUUCGGGUUGUAAACCGCUUUUGUCAGGGAAGAAACGCUCUGGGCUAAUACCCCGGGGUAAUGACGGUACCUGAAGAAUAAGCACCGGCUAACUACGUGCCAGCAGCCGCGGUAAUACGUAGGGUGCGAGCGUUAAUCGGAAUUACUGGGCGUAAAGCGUGCGCAGGCGGUUCGUCAAGUCUGAUGUGAAAGCCCCGGGCUCAACCUGGGAAUGGCAUGGGAAACUGGCGAGCUGGAGUGCGGCAGAGGGGGGUGGAAUUCCGCGUGUAGCAGUGAAAUGCGUAGAGAUGCGGAGGAACACCGAUGGCGAAGGCAGCCCCCUGGGCCGACACUGACGCUCAGGCACGAAAGCGUGGGGAGCAAACAGGAU